CCCCUCUCAGGGUCACACCUGGAGAGUUUCCAGUACUUUACCAGUCACGACUAAAGGAGGGAGAGUCAAGCAGAGGCCUAACCAUUCCGUUCCUAGUUUGGGCAAUGGCUAGCAGGUGGAAGACAAUCUGCUACAAGU
RNAcentral lists this small nucleolar RNA (138 nucleotides) under Ornithorhynchus anatinus (platypus). Lineage: Eukaryota; Metazoa; Chordata; Mammalia; Monotremata; Ornithorhynchidae. The record is from RNAcentral.